AAGUCGUAACAAGGUUUCCGUAGGUGAACCUGCGGAAGGAUCAUUACAAAAUUCCAAACAUAUCAUUUGUGAAUGCGGUCCUAGAAACUAGGCCGAGCUGUGCGGCAGGUCUGUGGGCCUACUGCACAGAUAUAAACUAUUGGUUGUCUAAAAGUGUGAACUAAAAUACAAAACAACACUUGACAGUGGAUCUCUUGGCUCUU
This 203-nucleotide unclassified non-coding RNA is filed under the name fungal sp. RNAcentral's name for it is "partial internal transcribed spacer region". The stretch from base 1 to 46 matches the Rfam family "Eukaryotic small subunit ribosomal RNA", at positions 1786 to 1831 of the family's 1831-position model. The record is from RNAcentral. Lineage: Eukaryota; Fungi.